Molecule: ribosomal RNA, 499 nt
Filed under: uncultured Glomeromycotina
Lineage: Eukaryota; Fungi; Glomeromycota
Description: partial small subunit ribosomal RNA
Rfam family: Eukaryotic small subunit ribosomal RNA
Source: RNAcentral
CCAAUAGCGUAUAUUAAAGUUGUUGCAGUUAAAAAGCUCGUAGUUGAAUUUUGGAUUCUUCCAAUUGGUCCAUCUUUUAGAUGAGUACUGGUUGUGUGGGGUCUAUCUACCUGGUGAUACGUAAUGUCCUUUAUUGGGUGUUGCGGGUAGUCAGGACUUUUACCUUGAAAAAAUUAGAGUGUUUAAAGCAGGCUUAUGCCGGAAUACAUUAGCAUGGAAUAAUAGAAUAGGACGAAGUUGUUUUAUUUUGUUGGUUUCUAGGACAACCGUAAUGAUUAAUAGGGAUAGUUGGGGGCAUUAGUAUUCAAUUGUCAGAGGUGAAAUUCUUGGAUUUAUUGAAGACUAACUACUGCGAAAGCAUUUGCCAAGGAUGUUUUCACUAAUCAAGAACGAAAGUUAGGGGAUCGAAGACGAUCAGAUACCGUCGUAGUCUUAACCAUAAACUAUGCCGACUAGGGAUCGGGCGAUGUUGUUUCCAUGACUCGCUCGGCACCUUAUG